Molecule: ribosomal RNA, 301 nt
Filed under: uncultured bacterium
Lineage: Bacteria
Description: partial 16S ribosomal RNA
Rfam family: Bacterial small subunit ribosomal RNA
Source: RNAcentral
CAGUCGCCGCGGUAAUACGGAGGGUGCAAGCGUUACCCGGAUUUACUGGGUUUAAAGGGUGCGUAGGUGGGUCUGUAAGUCAGUGGUGAAAUCUCCGAGCUUAACUCGGAAACUGCCAUUGAUACUAUAGGUCUUGAAUCAUCUGGAGGUGAGCGGAAUAUGUCAUGUAGCGGUGAAAUGCUUAGAUAUGACAUAGAACACCAAUUGCGAAGGCAGCUCACUACGGAUGUAUUGACACUGAGGCACGAAAGCGUGGGGAGCAAACAGGAUUAGAUACCCCUGUAGUCCCUGUCUCUUAUAC